Molecule: long non-coding RNA, 474 nt
Filed under: Solanum tuberosum (potato)
Lineage: Eukaryota; Viridiplantae; Streptophyta; Magnoliopsida; Solanales; Solanaceae
Description: long non-coding RNA (STUB_LNC000908)
Source: RNAcentral
AUUUAGUUGUCGGAAUUAAGUCAAAACAAAACUAGUUAAAGUGAAAAGGUUGUUAAAUUGUUUGAAUAAGUUAAAAUAAAUGUUGUGGGUUAGUUAGUGAAUUUAGUUGUCGGAAUUAAGUCAAAACUAAACUAGUUAAAGUGAAAAAGUUGUUAAGUUGUUUAAAUAAGUUAAAAUAAAUGUUGUGGGUUAGUUAGUGAAUUUAGUUGUCGGAAUUAAGUCAAAACUAAACUAGUUAAAGUGAAAAAGUUGUUAAGUUGUUUAAAUAAGUUAAAAUAAAUGUUGUGGGUUAGUUAGUGAAUUUAGUUGUCGGAAUUAAGUCAAAACUAAACUAGUUAAAGUGAAAAAGUUGUUAAGUUGUUUAAAUAAGUUAAAAUAAAUGUUGUGGGUUAGUUAGUGAAUUUAGUUGUCGGAAUUAAGUCAAAACUAAACUAGUUAAAGUAAAAAAGUUGUUAAGUUGUUUAAAUAAGUUAA